This is an RNA transcript of Epinephelus fuscoguttatus (brown-marbled grouper), 10306 nucleotides long. RefSeq lists it as uncharacterized. Lineage: Eukaryota; Metazoa; Chordata; Actinopteri; Perciformes; Serranidae. The transcript is spliced from 7 exons. The record is from RefSeq and is a predicted model, not a curated record.
GCCUGUGCGUGUGACAGCUUUGCCAGCUUCUUAUCCAUCGCUCUGCUUCCUACGUCACGAAGCUGGCGUGAACAGCGUGAAAGCGCACACAGAACACUACAUUUAACGCUACUUUGGCCGACUUCAGCAGCUCGUGGACACUUCCGUGAUAAAAGCAUGAAUACAUAAAUGGCGGUGUUAAGACUAAGGCGUUUCUGCUUGCUUUGAUGGGUAGCCAGUCGGCAGGUUGCGUCAUCUUUUCGUUCGAGAUGGGACUCCAUGUUUUGCUGUACUGGCCGAAUAUUAUUGGAUACAUUAGAAUUGGCCUUGUACUUGCGGCAUGGGCUGCCUUUGAGACACCAGCAGUAUUUGUUUCUCUUUACUCAAUCUUCAUAGCACUUGAUGGAGUGGACGGCUGGCUGGCGAGGAGGCUGUGCCAGAGCUCAAGGUUUGGAGCUUGGCUGGAUGUUGUGGUGGACAACUUGGGCAGAGGCAUGCUGUGGAGCCUGCUGUUUAAGGUCUGAUGGCUGCCAACAUUAAAUACACACAGUAUACACACAUUCACACUAAUUGCGCACAUUACAUUGGGAUUACACUGGAUGCGGAAGUGCUGCAGGGCGUGACGAUUUUCCUAUUGGCCCCGCUGUUAAAGAGAUCGUUCCCAUUUUUUGAAGUGGGGUUGUAUAACAUGAGGUACUUUCGGUAGUCAGUGUAUUACUGUCUGCAAUAAUCUGCAAUAUAGUUUCAGUUUCUGGUCUAUUUUUUCCACAAGCUGUGAGUGAAUCUGGCAAAAAAACCACACUAAUAAUCUAUUCUGAACUAUGUCAAGGAUAUAUUACUUAGGAUAUAAAUGAUCUGAUUCUUAUUAAUGAUAAAAUAUCCACCCCAUGCUUAUUUAUACCACAUUUUGUCAAAUGUGUCUAAACAGAGAGCAAGAGAGAGACACACACACACACAAGCAGACGGAGACAGAGCUAUAUAUGUGAAUAGAAAAUAACAGAGGAGCAGAUCACUUGCUGACCGGCUUGGAGAAAUGUUCCUCUGGUAUAAACAGCCAGUGGAAUGCUCACAUGACAGUUGUCAUAUCACAGUGCUUCUGUGUCCAGUGGAAACAUGGCCUUAGGUUGUGAUGUUUGUAUACGAUCAUCAUCUAGGAAAACUUUUAAAAUGAGCUUCCCUUUUAAAUGUACAGUAGCUAGCAAUCACUCCAUCAAUUUGUUUGUCACAUGAAAUCAUAUGAAUACCAUUUCAGUGAUAUAUAAUCUGUCAGUUCCAGUUCCUGUUUCCUAUCCAGUGUCAUAUGAAAUUGUUGCACAUCUAAAAUUAACAUGACCUCACGUUGUGUCAAUCACAUUUGCGCACUGACUUCAAAAUUUUCAUCCAUCUUUUCAGAGUUUUCAGAACAGUUUGAUUUUCUGCAUUUUUACUGUAUCUGUCAAAAGCCUUUAGAGAGUUGUUUGAGUGAGAAGUGGUGAAGAAAAUGUGGUGGUGGAACACAUCUGUGACAAGAUAGAGGAACAGGUCACACAAUACACAUGGGGAGAGUGGUGACAGCCAGAUAGGUAACUCCAAGAGAAGCAAUGUCCUUUUUUCAUUUUAUCUUGUAUUGCAGUUUUUCUCACAGUAAAACAACAGUAAAUGCAUCAAACUCAGUGUGCAAGGUUUCUCUGUGUAACGUUUUUUGGUUUUGGAUGACAGAUUUAAAAAACACAUACCAAACAAAUGGACUCAAUGUGCAAAGCCUUUAGACAGGGUCUCAUAAGGAUUCUUGUGUCCAGAGGGUAGAAGCUCCUCCUGAGCCUCUCAGUGCUGCCUGCUGAAAUGGAUCUUUAAUGAUUCUAUUGGCCUAAUUUUUUGCAGUGCCUCGUGUAAGUACGUUUUAGUCAGGGUAGCGCAGGGGCCUGUUGCUCGAAAGUAGAACUAACCAAUCCAGGAUAAGUGGAAAAGCGAGGUUGGACAAAUUCGCCUAAGUCCAUCCUGGCUUAAUUGGUUGUUCGAAUGCCUAGCCAGGCUGAGGAGGCGCGGCUUUGUCAAGCCAGUUGUAACUCAUUCGGAUAAGUGUGCGUCCUUGGCUUUCUUAAAUAGACCCCGAGAUCGAUCACUGAUUCACCAAUGCAGCAAUGGAGAGGACGCGUGCCGCAUACCUCUCACCCAGUGAGCAGCGUCUCAUCAUGGACCCUUAUGAAGAGGUAAAACAUAUAAUCAUGAAGAAAGGAAACACUGCAGCGACAAUAAAGCAGAGAGAGUGGGUGGCAAACAAUUGCAGACCAACUGAUUGCAUAAGUAAUCUAAAAAUAUACACUUGCUGCGCACAUGAAUCUGUCAUAAUUAGGGUCCGGGCAGCUAAGCUGCCAGUAAUCCUAGGUAUUCUUCUUCUUCUUCUUUUUUCUUCUUUCUUCUUCUUCUUCUUCCGAGGAAAUUGUACUUCCCAUGGGUGAAAACUCACCAAACUUUGCACAAAGGUCCAGUCUCAUGCCAGAUAUCCUCAGCUGUAAACUCAAGCCAAUAGUCCUGAAAAACUUUGAAAAUUCAUAACAAAUCAACCAUACGUGCAACAACUUCACAACUUUCAUCAAACUGUAGCCCCAAUACUUAAGAAACGUUUGUACACUUAAACCUAUUAAAAAUUAUGAAGUUCAAAAACUGUAAAACUUCUUAAACCUAUCUCCUCCCACAAUUUUUGCUCAAUUGACACCAAACUUGCUACAGAGUAUCUUCAGACUGUCCUACAAAAACUAUGUUUCUCAGAUUUUUGAUUUAUCAAAAUUGAGCCUACAGUGCAUCAAAAUGUUUGACUGUCACGGUACUGUAAACAUAUACAUGCAAAUUCUUGCUAAAUAAAUCUUCAAUGUUCAUGAAAAUGACAAAAUUCAGGAGUCAUGGUAGAUGAUGUGAGUCAAUGUAAAAAUGGCAAUUUUAAACAUCAGUUUUUCACUUAUGAAGCAAAUCAAUCAUUGUUACAAACAAAUGACCAACAUCUCCAUGCUGUCUAGAUGCAAUAUGUGUAUUUUCAGAUUUUUGUCUCAAUAACUGAAUUUUUUACAGUGGUUUCAAAUAUGCCUUUCCAUGCACGGAUGGCUGCUUUCCUACACAACAGUGAAUGGCUUACUCAGUUUGUGAAGCCACUGUUGAGUUGCUACUUGCCAAUUAGCUCAGAGCGGUAGAUGACCAUCUUAGGUUCCAGAGGUUGUGGAUUCGAGCUUCAACUGGUGCAGAAUCCACAUUGUAAUAUAAACAUCUUCUUGUGCUCCAGCUUACUGCUUAAAAUUGCCUGAGCGUGACUGAUCACUGUGCAGCAUCUUCAAGUCUUUUUUCUGCUAGAAAAUCUGCCUUCUCAUGCUUGAAACUAAACCAAACUUUGCACAAAGAUCCAUUGUCAAUACUUCAGUGUGAAACUGUCAGAGGCUUCUCACUUUGCACAUAGCUCAACUAGUUAAACAUCAGUUUUCCACUUAUGAAGCAAAUCAAUCAUUGUUACAAUAAAUUACCAACAUCUCCAUGCUGUCUAGAUGCAAUAUGUGUAUUUUCAGAUUUUUGUUUUGAUAACUGAAUUUUUUACAGUGGUUUGAAAUCUGCUUUUCCAUGCAUGGACAGCUACUAAACCUGCACGUCUGGCUUAGUCAAUUUGUGAAGCUACGCAUGAAUUGUCACUGACUAAUUAGCUCAGUGAGAUAGAAACUGAUUCUUUGUCUCAGAGGUUGUGAGUUCAAGCUUCAGCUGAUGGAAAAGGUAGAUUGUGGGCAGCUACAGACUCUGUCCCACCCACAGAAACCGCCCUCUUCAUACAAGGUACAUUAUUCCAGUAUACUCUACAUGGAAUCAGUCAUUUUAUUCAUUCAUUAAUCAACCAUUGGUGUUAUGUGGACUGUCUGAAUUUGGAUUGUCUUGCAGUGUCAGGAAGACCGGAAGAUGAUCCAGUGAGUGUUAUUCAUUAGAGGCAUUUGCUUGACAUGUCUUGCAAGUUUACAUUAGGUCAAUGCAAAUUCUAAUUAAUGUGGCAGGGUGAAGGCACAUCUGCAGCAGGGGAUGCAGCAGAUGAGGAGGAGACACUUUCUCUGGACUCUAGAAGGUUUGAGGUAACCUGCCAGUCUUGUGGAGAUAAUUUAAUACUUAAUGUAUAAGAAGUCAGUGAUGUGGUGCUCAUAGAAAAUAUAUUUGUAACAGGACACAGAUGAACAGCCUGACAGCCUGCCUGGAAAUGUAGUGAGUAUUGCCUGAAGGACAUCCACGGUGUCCACAAUUGCUGUGCUAAUAGAUAUGUGUUUUACAGAAUUCACAAACUGUCAGACACAGGCCUGGAAUUUCGUCAUUUUAGGGGCAAGGCCACUUGGCCUUUCGUGUUGUCAAUUUUUUGAGGGCACAAAGGCCAAAAGCCAGGGCAGCAAGGCCAUACAAUAAAACAAUGAUUUUAAGUCCACGUCCAUAAUGAAUUUAAUUUAAGGACUAAGGAUGUAUAACUUAUCAGUGAAAUGAAUAAAUAAAAAAAGCUCAAGUAAUAAUACUGAGUAUAGUAAGUAACAAUGUGAUUUAUUUAAUAGCACUAAUAAACCCAAUGUGUUUUAAAUAUAGAACAACCAGGUUCAUGUAUUUAUAAGCAAACAAUCUUAAAUAUUAGGCCUAAAUAUUUUUUGAGUGUACACAGUGCAGUGAUUAAUUGAACAAGACUGGCUUACAAUUAUUUUGAUGUGUUGUUAGAUAGCUAACAAACAAACAAACUACAGCAGAACUAUUCAAUUAUUAUUUCAACUGGGCCGCAUUUCAAAACCAGAUAAUGUCGAUGGGCCACAUUCUUAGCAGCGAGCAACCAAUCCACGUUUUUUUUGCAUACAUAUAUAUAUUUAUAUAUGCAGGCAUGGCCCUCCUCAACAUGAUGCAGAAACAGACUAAAAGAGAGCUAUCAAUGCACAGAAGCAUAAUAAGUGACAUUAACAGUGUCUACCAACACACACUAUCUCUCUUCCAGCAUCGCCCUCUGCCCUCUCCCCUCCACACACACACACACACACACACCACACCACACCACACACCUCCUGACGUUUUCCUUACAGGUCAGUUACACAGUUUUAUACAGUCCAUGGCAGCAACAGUCAUGUUUACAAUAACAAAGUCACUAUUUAAAACCCAAUAAUAUCUGACUGGAAUAUAAAUAUUCCUCCUGACAUCACAAUACUGAGUGAAAAAAGUCACGUUAUCUAAACAUGAAGACAGACACCAGUAUCUGUCAUUCAUCCUGCUCUCUGUCCCUCCUCUACUGAGGACACUCGCUGUCCGCAGGUCGGCUGCCUCAGGUACAUGUUCAGAUAAAGUGUUAGCCUACAUACAGACAGCUUUCAUUUAGUUUGUCUUUAACACUUUGCUGUUAGCACCGCGAGUGCGAUGUGCUUGUGUCAACCGCGAUCAUAAAUCAUAAUAGCGGUGAAUGAGAGACUGUGGACAGAGCGGAUUGAAAUAUUCUACAUGCUGAUCACAUGUAUUGGCUUGGCUAGCAGAGGUUUUAUCGCACUUACAGUAACAAGCGUAGUUGUCGUUAACUAGAGUCAUCUUGAAGUUAUAUUUCCUUCACCUGCACCGCGGCCUCUCUGCUGUUGAGUUUGUGUGUGUGUGUGUGUGUGUGUGUGUGUGUCUGUGUGUGUGUGUGUGUGCGCGCGCUGUGAGGGGUGACAUGCAGAGAGCAGGAGAGAGGCUGCAGAAUGUUGAUGAAACCGAAACUUUAAAAAGUAACGCCGAUAAUGGCGGAGCUUACUAUUAUUAUGGCGUUGAUUGAACUUGCCUUGGGUUGUUUCAUACCGGGUCUCGGUACCGAUCCCUGCCUGGGCGUUUGAUGAAGUCUCCUGGCUGGCCGGUGAUAGACUGGUGUCAAACUGUCGUUAUAGCCUGUCUGAGCGGUUCAUGCCAGGCUCCAAUCAAACCCCCCACUGGUGAUGUAUGCAUCGUCUCAUUAUAUGUUUCUCAGUAAGAGUUCAGAAUGUCAUCGCAUUUUUUUUCUCAAUAGAUGCAGGUAUCAAAGCCGUGUUGACAGGAAAGAGGCAGAGGAGAAAACCGCAAAAUCACCUGGGGCAGUGCGGGCGGGGCAUCAAGGCCACUGUGGCCUUAGGGCAGAUAUUUUUUUCAAGGGCACAGGGCCAAAUUGGGAGGCCACAAGAGCCAUGGCCCUCGUGGCCCUCGUGAAAUUCCUGCCCUGGUCAGACAGCUAUAUGCUACUCAUCUGAGGAAGCAAAUAGCCCUGGCGGAUGUCAAGCUCCAGUGUGAGAAGAGAAAGCUGCAGGACAUGGAGCCUGACAGAAAAAUUAAAAGGAAAAACCUUAAGGAAACUGGACUUGCAAAUUAAGAAACUACAGAAAGAACUCAAAGCAGACAGUGACUGAUUUUAGUAUUUUUCAUUUAAAUAAAAUGAGGUCAAAGAAUAUUGUGGUUUCAUGUUUUCAUUCAUUGAUGUAAAGUACACUGGAGUUUUUGGUCCAGUUAACUGGGAAUAUAAUUUGGGAAGGUCAUACAGUUAUGAAACCUAAUAACCACUAAUUGUAUUAAUGCCAAAUACACUUACUUGUAUGUUUAUUCCAACAAUUAUUCCUUUUAGUGGUAAGGAUAUGUGCAUGUGAAAGUAUGCUUGGGCUAUGACAAAAAUAAUGUUUUAAAUGUUAAAUGUUUUUUUUUUAUUAUUGUAGGCUUAAUGUAUUUUGUUCAAAAUUGAGGCAAACACGUACAUAAGAACAUGAAAUGACGGUAACCACAUUGAUUUCCGAUUGCAGUGACAGCUGACUGGACAGAUAAUGCACCAGGCUAAACUAAGCCUGGUUGUUAGCCUGGUCGGGAUCAGGCUAAGUGCACAGAAUAAAUCUCCAUGGCAACAUAUGUGCCUCUGCUUUCGAACAACCGAAUCAACGCUAAAUUAAGCCAGGAUAACCAACAUAUCCCGACUUAAUCCCUUAUCUAGGUUUCGAACAACAGGCCCCAGGACUUAUAGUGUUCAUAGCUGGUGUUUGAUCCCUCCAUGCCUCGGUGCCUUCUCUGAUGCUUAGACGGACAUAGAGAUGGUUUUGCUUGUCCACGUAGUCAGAAUUGUAGCUGGAGUUCAUCUUUUCCUUUUUUUCCUUGAUGUUUUAUCUCUGAUGCGUAUACUUGAAAACUUCCGGCAGCCAGUUAGCAGAGUCAGCAGCAGGAGAGUUCACAAAGUAAUGAGCUGAUUUCCUUACCCUAAUGAGUGACUGAAAGUUGUAUAUUCCUGUCAUUGUCCAAUAUUAAUCACAAAAAGUAUAGCUAAUAUUUGUAAAUAACUUAAUUAGCAUAUGUUAGCAUAAAUUUUGCAGAUCUGACAGAGUGGCGUUCAGAUAGGUCCACGCCUAAUAACAAAAUUAUUAUAUACAGUAAAUGAUUAGCUGGUACAAAGAACCCUAGUAUUUGCAAAAAAACCAAAUCCCUAUUAAUCCUUAUUUGACGCGCAGCAGCAGCCCGUACUGUUCUGUGUCAUGAUUUUUGUGACAUCAAGCAGAAUAGCCACUGUACCACUCACUCAGCCUUGUCUGUACAGAUUUACUUGUGACUUUGACUCUGAAUAGAUCAUGCUUGUAUGUCUAUGGUAUGAAACACUUAUUGCAAACACACAGGUGUCUUGCUGUUAAAAUGUGUCUCUUCUGAUAUAUGCCAUAUCUGCAUUGUGUUAUAGUGGGGUUGGCUGGUGUUUGCUUUGGAGUGGUGUGUGUUUGUGUGUAACCACAAUGCCAGAGGUGACCAGUGGAAGAGCAGUUUCAUCACCAGCCCUCAACUCAUACAAGCUAUCAUGGCAAACGGGUUUCGAACACCUCUCGGCACGUGGGUGGUGAGCGGAUUGCACGGCCUCCCCCUGUGGCUGUAUGGGUGCCAGUGGGGUUUACUCACUCACUGGCUGUUUGUACCUCCAUGGAUCCAGGCUCUGGGGACCCUGCUGCUGACUGCAGGCCGCCUGCUGGCUCUAUCAGUGGAGAUAUGGUGCAUAUGGACACACAUUGAAUACCUCACCAAUGAGGAGACACAGGAGGCAAAGAAUUGAAAGGCACUCAGCACAGUCAACUUCUACUGUACAUCUACGCUGGGGCAGCAGUAGCUCAGUCCAUAGGGACUUGGGUUGGGAACCGGAGGGUCGCCUGUUCAAGUCCCCAUCCGGACCAAAAUAUGGAGCGUGGACUGGUAGCUGGAGAGGUGUCAGUUCACCUCCUGGGCACUGCCGAGGUGCCCCUGAGCAAGGCACCGAACCCCCCAACCGCUCGGAGCGCCUGUCAUGGGCAACCCACUCUGACAUCUCUCCACUUAGUGCAUGUAUAGGUCCCGUUUGUGCGUGUGUGUUCGGACCUGUGUUUAAUUGACAAACAGAGUGAAAAAUUGAAUUUCCCCUCGGGGAUUAAUAAAGUAUAUUAAAUUAUUUACACCUGCCCACUGCUGCUAAACAUAACAAGGUGUGUGCAAAUGUUUGAGAAUGUUGAAGAGUGUUGAGAGUCUGAGCUGAAGCAACUACAACAGUAUAUGACUUUACUUUUUCUGCUAUGGAACCUCAUACCUUUGGUUUAUUCUCAGUUUGACUUCAGCAAAAGGCUCACUUUGGGUUAGAAAAAAAUUCAGAAACUAUUUCUAUGAUAAAAUAAACCAAUAAAUGCAAAGAUACAACAUCACUACAAAACAAGGCUGGGCAGCAAGGGUUAGUAACAAGACUUUCAUGUGAUGGCAUUAAUGUUUGACUGGUGGGAAAUAGUUGACUUAAAUGACCUAAAUGGAAUUAGUUAUAUAAGCGUUUUUCCUUUGAAAGAUAUUUUUUAUUUCUAGAUGUGUUGACUGUUAAAAAGGCUAAGCUGUGCCUUUAUUUGAUUCUGAGCAAAAUAUUUUUUAUUAAAGGGAUACUUUGAUGAAUUUUAAGCAGUUUUGUAUCUUAACAAUGUGGAUAGUGUGUGUUCAUGAACUGUGGUAAAAUUUCAUCUUGCCAACACUGCUCAUCUCUCAGCUCAAUUACACGCGAUAAUGCGGCACAUUUUCACUGGCUUUUGGGUGUAGCUAUUCUAAACCUUUUUAUAGUGUUUCAAAUCAGAUUAAACAGUAUAGUAUAGUCUAGUAGUACAUGACAGUAUAUAAGGACAAUUUGUCAUCCAUCCAUCCAUCCUCUUAAUAGGAGGCACCCGAUCAGAUGCCCAAACCACCUCAACCGGUCGGUUUCGACGCAAAGGGCCAGCAGCUCUACUCCGAACUCCUGCCGGAUGUCUGAGCUCCUCACCCUAUCUCUAAGGCUGAGCCCAGACACCCUUCUGAGGAAACUCAUUUCGGCCGCUUGUAUCCACAAUCUCAUUCUUUUGGUCAUUACCCAAAGCUCAUAACCACAGGUGAGGGUUGGGACGUAGAUGGACCGGUAAAUAGAGAGCUUCGCCUUCUGGCCCAGCUCCCUCUUCACCACGACAGUCCUGGCUCUUCUGCUGUUUGUCUGUUUUACUGAUGUAGCAAUUACAGUAUUGGACUCAACAAUUCAUAAUUAAUUCCAAAAUAUGUAACUAUAAAUCAUAACUCAAGAUUAUGCCUCAGAAACACAUGAACUGACAUAACAAAGGAGCCUGAUGGAACUCAACUUCAACAAUGAGUUUUAUAUUAAAUAACAGAAAUCAAAUCCUUGGAGCAGCACCACCCAUUAAAAAACAGAGGUUUAUAGCCAAUUAGCCUAUUAAUAAAUUUAGUAUCACAAACUGAAGGCUGCUACAGAGUUCUUUUCCUGAUGUACAGUUGACCCAACAUAUACACCCACACAAAUCAAAAGAUCAGUUUUCUUUAUAAAUGAAAUAUUUAUUGAACGAGUAACUACAAACUUAAAAAAAAAAACCUAAACAGUUUAUUUUACAAUUGCAGGGAAGUUACCUGGCUGCAUUUACUGAUGUCUUGCAAUAAAAUGCUGAGAGACAAGUUUCAAGAGGUGUGAUCUUUUGUUCACCACUAAAACAACACAGACCCGAACACAUUGAGGAAUUGUACUGGUGAAACAGGAACAGGCAUCACCUAAACUGCUGCCACAACGUUGGUUGGGUACAACACUAAAGUAUCAUUGUAUGUUCCAGGGGCACUGCCAGGAAUUUUGGGCCCCAUGAAAAAAAAAUCACAUUGGGCACCCCCUGCGCAACUGUUGUGUCUAGGACCUAAGUGACCCAUUAAAAGCUUUAUAUAACUCUAACUUGCAACUGUCUUGCUCCUUGUAGUUCACUACUACCAGUACAAUAUUUACUGCUUGUGAGUUGUACAUGCAACAGUCUGCAUACAGUAUGCAAUUCACUAUUUGAUGCGAGAUUAAAAGCAGCCAUAAAAAAUGUGUUAAAGUCCAUCUUUU